AGAGUUUGAUCCUGGCUCAGGAUGAACACUGGCGGCGUGCCUAACACAUGCAAGUCGAGCGAUCUUCUUCGGAAGAGAGCGGCGGACGGGUGAGUAACGCGUGGGUAACCUGCCCUGUACACACGGAUAACAUACCGAAAGGUAUGCUAAUACGAGAUAAUAUACUUUUAUCGCAUGGUAGAAGUAUCAAAGCUCCGGCGGUACAGGAUGGACCCGCGUCUGAUUAGCUUGUUGGUAAGGUAACGGCUUACCAAGGCGACGAUCAGUAGCCGACCUGAGAGGGUGAUCGGCCACAUUGGAACUGAGACACGGUCCAAACUCCUACGGGAGGCAGCAGUGGGGAAUAUUGCACAAUGGGCGAAAGCCUGAUGCAGCAACGCCGCGUGAGCGAUGAAGGCCUUCGGGUCGUAAAGCUCUGUCCUCAAGGAAGAUAAUGACGGUACUUGAGGAGGAAGCCCCGGCUAACUACGUGCCAGCAGCCGCGGUAAUACGUAGGGGGCUAGCGUUAUCCGGAAUUACUGGGCGUAAAGGGUGCGUAGGUGGUUUCUUAAGUCAGAGGUGAAAGGCUACGGCUCAACCAUAGUAAGCCUUUGAAACUGAGAAACUUGAGUGCAGGAGAGGAGAGUGGAAUUCCUAGUGUAGCGGUGAAAUGCGUAGAUAUUAGGAGGAACACCAGUUGCGAAGGCGGCUCUCUGGACUGUAACUGACACUGAGGCACGAAAGCGUGGGGAGCAGACAGGAUUAGAUACCCUGGUAGUCCACGCCGUAAACGAUGAGUACUAGCUGUCGGAGGUUACCACCCUUCGGUGGCGCAGCUAACGCAUUAAGUACUCCGCCUGGGAAGUACGCUCGCAAGAGUGAAACUCAAAGGAAUUGACGG
This 880-nucleotide ribosomal RNA is filed under the name uncultured bacterium. Its description in RNAcentral is "bacterial SSU rRNA". It matches the Rfam family "Bacterial small subunit ribosomal RNA", at positions 8 to 916 of the family's 1533-position model. The record is from RNAcentral.